RNAcentral lists this ribosomal RNA (460 nucleotides) under uncultured bacterium. RNAcentral's name for it is "partial 16S ribosomal RNA". It matches the Rfam family "Bacterial small subunit ribosomal RNA", at positions 338 to 795 of the family's 1533-position model. The record is from RNAcentral.
CCUACGGGAGGCAGCAGUGAGGAAUAUUGGUCAAUGGACGAGAGUCUGAACCAGCCAAGUAGCGUGAAGGAUGACUGCCCUAUGGGUUGUAAACUUCUUUUAUAAAGGAAUAAAACGAGGCACGUGUGCCUUUUUGCAUGUACUUGAUGAAUAAGGAUCGGCUAACUCCGUGCCAGCAGCCGCGGUAAUACGGAGGAUCCGAGCGUUAUCCGGAUUUAUUGGGUUUAAAGGGAGCGUAGAUGGGUUGUUAAGUCAGUUGUGAAAGUUUGCGGCUCAACCGUAAAAUUGCAAUUGAUACUGGCAGUCGUGAGUACAGUUGAGGUAGGCGGAAUUCGUGGUGUAGCGGUGAAAUGCUUAGAUAUCACGAAGAACCCCGAUUGCGAAGGCAGCUUACUAAACUGUGACUGACAUUGAUGCUCGAAAGUGUGGGUAUCAAACAGGAUUAGAUACCCUGGUAGUC